AUGGAGAAGGAGAAGCAGAAGCAGGGGGCCGACGGCGCCCUCCUCCUCGCGCUGCGCUGCUCCAGGGCGUCUCUCGUCCUCUCCUCUCUCCGCCAGCCACCCCCCUCGACGGCGACGACCCGCCGGACCUCAUCCUCAGCGGAGUUCGAGCUGCGGAACGCGCGCCUCCUCGACGCCGAGCUCGCGGCGGCGCGGCGCGCGGCUGCCAGAAGCGCGCGGAUAUCCGCCGCUGAGAUUCUCUUCGUCGUUGCUCUGGUCCCCCUCCUCAUGCUCUUCGUUGCGCUUCUCGCGAGCGCUGCCGCGGAAGCGGUCGCUUGA
RNAcentral lists this ribosomal RNA (318 nucleotides) under Triticum aestivum (bread wheat). Its description in RNAcentral is "partial small subunit ribosomal RNA". Lineage: Eukaryota; Viridiplantae; Streptophyta; Magnoliopsida; Poales; Poaceae. The record is from RNAcentral.